CGACGUGGGUAACCUGCCUCAUACAGGGGGAUAGCAGCUGGAAACGGCUGAUAAAACCGCAUAAGCGCACAGCAUCGCAUGAUGCAGUGUGAAAAACUCCGGUGGUAUGAGAUGGACCCGCGUCUGAUUAGCUAGUUGGUGAGGUAACGGCCCACCAAGGCGACGAUCAGUAGCCGGCCUGAGAGGGUGACCGGCCACAUUGGGACUGAGACACGGCCCAA
RNAcentral lists this ribosomal RNA (221 nucleotides) under uncultured bacterium. Its description in RNAcentral is "partial 16S ribosomal RNA". It matches the Rfam family "Bacterial small subunit ribosomal RNA", at positions 113 to 334 of the family's 1533-position model. The record is from RNAcentral.